RNAcentral lists this ribosomal RNA (253 nucleotides) under uncultured bacterium. RNAcentral's name for it is "partial 16S ribosomal RNA". It matches the Rfam family "Bacterial small subunit ribosomal RNA", at positions 524 to 776 of the family's 1533-position model. The record is from RNAcentral.
UACGGAGGAUGCAAGCGUUAUCCGGAAUGAUUGGGCGUAAAGCGUCCGCAGGUGGCUGUGUAAGUCUGCUGUCAAAGAGCGAAGCUCAACUUCGUAAAGGCAGUGGAAACUACACGGCUAGAGUGCGUUCGGGGCAGAGGGAAUUCCUGGUGUAGCGGUGAAAUGCGUAGAUAUCGGGAGGAACACCAGUGGCGAAGGCGGCUCUCUGGGCCCUACCUGACGCUGAGACGCGAAAGCGUGGGGAGCGAACCGG